UCUACACCUUGAAGAUAUCUUGAACAAAAUGUCAAACAUUUAUCAGCAAUAUAUCCUUCAGCAAUCGAGCCCUUGGGAUAGGCUCUAUUUCGCACAUAAUCUUUAAGAUGCACAAGAUACCUUCAAGAAUUAAAUAUUUAUUAAAAUAUCAGUAUGCUCUUGUUUCUAAUAAUAUUAUCAAAAGCUUUAAGGUUUGCAAUAAUACCUCUCAAUAGG
Molecule: long non-coding RNA, 216 nt
Filed under: Elaeis guineensis (African oil palm)
Lineage: Eukaryota; Viridiplantae; Streptophyta; Magnoliopsida; Arecales; Arecaceae
Description: long non-coding RNA (EGUI_LNC070701)
Source: RNAcentral